RNAcentral lists this ribosomal RNA (492 nucleotides) under uncultured bacterium. RNAcentral's name for it is "partial 16S ribosomal RNA". It matches the Rfam family "Bacterial small subunit ribosomal RNA", at positions 29 to 507 of the family's 1533-position model. The record is from RNAcentral.
AGUGAACGCUGGCGGUAGGCCUAACACAUGCAAGUCGAACGGCAGCACAGUAAGAGCUUGCUCUUACGGGUGGCGAGUGGUGGACGGGUGAGGAAUACAUCGGAAUCUACUUUUUCGUGGGGGAUAACGUAGGGAAACUUACGCUAAUACCGCAUACGACAUACGGGUGAAAGCAGGGGAUCUUCGGACUUUGCGCGAUUGAAUGAGCCGAUGUCGGAUUAGCUAGUUGGCGCGGUAAAGGCCCACCAAGGCGACGAUCCGUAGAUGGUCUGAGUGGAUGAUCAGCUACACUGGAACUGAGACACGGUCCCGACUCCUACGGGAGGCAGCGGUGGGGACUAUUGGACAAUGGGCGCAAGCCUGAUCCAGCACUACCGAGUAGGUGAAGAAGGCGUUCGGGUUGUAGAGCCAUUUUGUUGGGAAAGAAAAGAAGCAGGAUAAUACCCCGCUGUUCUGACGGUACCCAAAGAAUAAGCACCGGCUAACUUCGUG